ACGGAAGGCAGCAGUGGGGAAUAUUGCACAAUGGGCGAAAGCCUGAUGCAGCGACGCCGCGUGAGUGAAGAAGUAUCUCGGUAUGUAAAGCUCUAUCAGCAGGGAAGAAAAUGACGGUACCUGACUAAGAAGCCCCGGCUAACUACGUGCCAGCAGCCGCGGUAAUACGUAGGGGGCAAGCGUUAUCCGGAUUUACUGGGUGUAAAGGGAGCGUAGACGGUUUGGCAAGUCUGAAGUGAAAUGCGGGGGCUCAACUCCUGAACUGCUUUGGAAACUGUCGAACUAGAGUGCAGGAGAGGUAAGUGGAAUUCCUAGUGUAGCGGUGAAAUGCGUAGAUAUUAGGAGGAACACCAGUGGCGAAGGCGGCUUACUGGACUGUAACUGACGUUGAGGCUCGGAAGCGUGGGGAGCAAACAGGAUUAGAUACCCUGGUA
This 434-nucleotide ribosomal RNA is filed under the name uncultured Lachnospiraceae bacterium. RNAcentral describes it as "partial 16S ribosomal RNA". It matches the Rfam family "Bacterial small subunit ribosomal RNA", at positions 341 to 792 of the family's 1533-position model. The record is from RNAcentral. Lineage: Bacteria; Bacillati; Bacillota; Clostridia; Lachnospirales; Lachnospiraceae.